UACGGGGGGGGCAAGCGUUGUUCGGAAUUACUGGGCGUAAAGGGCUCGUAGGCGGCCAACUAAGUCGGAUGUGAAAUCCCCAGGCUUAACCUGGGAACUGCGUCUGAUACUGGGAGGCUUGAGUAUGGGAGAGGGAUGUAGAAUUCCAGGUGUAGCGGUGAAAUGCGUAGAUAUCUGGAGGAAUACCGGUGGCGAAGGCGGCAUCCUGGACCAUAACUGACGCUGAGGCGCGAAAGCUAGGGGAGCAAACGGG
Molecule: ribosomal RNA, 253 nt
Filed under: uncultured bacterium
Lineage: Bacteria
Description: partial 16S ribosomal RNA
Rfam family: Bacterial small subunit ribosomal RNA
Source: RNAcentral